Molecule: ribosomal RNA, 253 nt
Filed under: uncultured bacterium
Lineage: Bacteria
Description: partial 16S ribosomal RNA
Rfam family: Bacterial small subunit ribosomal RNA
Source: RNAcentral
UACGUAGGGAGCAAGCGUUGUCCGGGAUCAUUGGGCGUAAAGCGCGCGUAGGUGGCCUCAUAAGUCCGCUGUGAAAGUCAAAGGCUCAACCUCGAGACGCCGGUGGAAACCAUCAGACUAGAGUCCGGAAGAGGAGAGUGGAAUUCCUGGUGUAGCGGUGGAAUGCGCAGAUAUCAGGAGGAACACCGAUGGCGAAGGCAGCUCGCUGGGACGGUACUGACGCUGAGGCGCGAAAGCGUGGGGAGCGAACAGG